GUGCUUGCUUCAGCAGCACAUAUACUAAAAUUGGAAUGAUACAGAGAAGAUUAGCAUGGCCCCUGUGCAAGGAUGACAUGCAAAUUCAUGAAAUGGUCCAUAUUUUU
Molecule: small nuclear RNA, 107 nt
Filed under: Castor canadensis (American beaver)
Lineage: Eukaryota; Metazoa; Chordata; Mammalia; Rodentia; Castoridae
Source: RNAcentral